CCUACGGGUGGCUGCAGUGAGGAAUAUUGGUCAAUGGACGAGAGUCUGAACCAGCCAAGUAGCGUGAAGGAUGACUGCCCUAUGGGUUGUAAACUUCUUUUUUAUGGGAAUAAAACGUUCCACGUGUGGGAUUUUGUAUGUACCAUAUGAAUAAGGAUCGGCUAACUCCGUGCCAGCAGCCGCGGUAAUACGGAGGGUCCGGGCGUUAUCCGGCUUUAUUGGGUUUAAAGGGAGCGUAGGUGGAUUGUUAAGUCAGUUGUGAAAGUUUGCGGCUCAACCGUAAGAUUGCAGUUGAAACUGGCAGUCUUGAGUACAGUAGAGGUGGGCGGAAUUCGUGGUGUAGCGGUGAAAUGCUUAGAUAUCACGAAGAACUCCGAUUGCGAAGGCAGUUCACUGGACUGCAACUGACACUGAGGCUCGAAAGUGUGGGUAUCAAACAGGAUUAGAUACCCGGGUAGUC
RNAcentral lists this ribosomal RNA (460 nucleotides) under uncultured bacterium. RNAcentral describes it as "partial 16S ribosomal RNA". It matches the Rfam family "Bacterial small subunit ribosomal RNA", at positions 338 to 795 of the family's 1533-position model. The record is from RNAcentral.